ACACUUCGAAGACUGCAUGUUUACUAAUAGUCAAAAAAGGCGAUUAAAUCCUGCAGCAAAGCCCACGAUUUUCGACAUUCCAAACAAACCACCAACUGUAGGUCAAAAUUGACGAAUUCUACGAAGGACAACCACCGAUAUUGCCACUAAAGCCAAGAGACAGAAGCUGAUAAGAAAAUCGAAAGCAACUGAAGUUCAAGAAAGUGUUUGUGAUAGCCCCGAUCAAGAAAUAAUGGAAACUGACGAUACAACGAGAAAGCAAGGUGAAUUUUAAGGGCACCAAGAAAAUUUGUCACGAACAAGAACAUUAGAUUUCUGUUGUCAAACCAGCACUAGCCUCACCAACAAUACACCAAGGAAAAAAAAGCAAAAAAUGGUGAUCAGAU
Xenia sp. Carnegie-2017 is the source of this 386-nucleotide long non-coding RNA. RefSeq lists it as uncharacterized. Lineage: Eukaryota; Metazoa; Cnidaria; Anthozoa; Malacalcyonacea; Xeniidae. The transcript has 4 exons. The record is from RefSeq and is a predicted model, not a curated record.